Molecule: long non-coding RNA, 1522 nt
Organism: Zootermopsis nevadensis
Lineage: Eukaryota; Metazoa; Arthropoda; Insecta; Blattodea; Termopsidae
Source: RefSeq, a predicted model, not a curated record
ACAGUUUCUUUCGCAGGAUCGGAGGACGGUCAACAGGUGUUAGGAAAGAAGUAAAAUCUUGAGCAAGACAAAAUCAUACGAAAAAGUGUUCACGGCGGUGAGUACGAAGAUGGCUGUCUUCUGGGUUCUUGCGCCGUGUAGGCUGAUAGACGUUUACCGACGUUUCUGAUGUGUUUGCUGCCCUUUCAUCAAGGCGAGGAGUGAGUCGCGGGCGAGGAAUCGGCCAAACGGUUGCUGGGGAUUGAGCACAACACGUUGCUGGUGUCGACAGAUUAGUCAAAGAGAGCGAUAUCGACCUAAAUAGCGAAGUUGAACGAGCAUCUCACACAAGCCUACCGACUGGACAAUUGCAACUUCUUGGCCUCCAGUUAACUAGAUCUAUAACAUGAAAGUCGAGAGGUGGCACGCCAUAUCAAGUGCAUCUUUAUUGAAAGUAGCUGAGUAAGUAUCCAGUAAACCAAGUGAUUAACUUCAUGCAACAGAGUCCUUUAGAAACGUCCUCAGUCGCUCAGCUAAUUUAAAAAAACCCAGCUUUAAUGGAACCCGUAGGUUCCCUACCGUUUUCGUAAGAGCCCGCCACUAGAUCUUAUCCUUAACAUGUUGAAUUCAGCCAACAACUUCACACUUAAUUUAUUUAUGAUUAAUUUUGAUAUAUCAUUCAAUCUACGUCUAAUUAUCUCAAGUGGUCUCUUCGCUGCAACUCUUCCAAUUAAAAUGGUUUAUUACUCAUUUACCCCAACUAUUAAAACAUAUUUUAAUAUGGGUUGCUUGGCUUCUCAAUCUUCCCGUACAAGUCACAGUCGAGAGGUUCACGGUUUUCAUUUAAGUAAAAUCAGGUGGUUGAUAAUUAUGUUUAUAGUAAGGAAAACUGAACGUUGACAGCUGAUAAUAACACAAGAAUUAUUUAGAGUAACAUGGUUUAAGCCGUGUAGCCUGAUCCGACUCAGUACUUCUAACACCCCGAGCCUUUCUAUUUAUUUACCAAGAGACCUUGGAUAUUGGAUCGUCUCAUUGAAGAACUAUGACCACGACAUACUGCAGAAAACACAGAGAUGAGUUUAUGCCCUGACCUGGAAUCGAAAUCUUUAUCACAGUGCUCCUUGUAACGCCGGGAUCAUGUUUGUCACGCAGCAGCCCUGAGGAUGAGAGCAGAGAUUGUUCUCGAAACGUUGGCAGAAGGUAUGAUUUAUCCAUCAUUCAGCCACUUGACGCGGCGUGUAAUCCGAUUGUCUUUCAUCAAUGAUGUUUUCUUCAUAGCAGAACUAGUCCGAUUCUAACUUUGGAAUCAAGUCACGCAAAACCGGCAUUAAAUGCACGUGGCUUGUGUUUCACGGGGUGACCUGAAUAUUCGGUAACAUUAUUAUGAUUCAAAACAACGUCACAGCAGUAGUUAUACAGGCGUGUAUUGAUUCUUGGUUUAUUCAGCGACUAAUAUCAGGUGUCUAAGGCAUGUAACAUUGAGAGUUAGUAUGACUUAAUGUGAAAAAAGAAGAAGAAUAGAAACAUGGCCUAUUUUAAAGUA